RNAcentral lists this ribosomal RNA (277 nucleotides) under uncultured soil bacterium. Its description in RNAcentral is "partial 16S ribosomal RNA". It matches the Rfam family "Bacterial small subunit ribosomal RNA", at positions 26 to 290 of the family's 1533-position model. The record is from RNAcentral.
AGAAUCAACGCUGGCGGCGUGCCUAACACAUGCAAGUCGAACGCGAAAGUGGAGCAAUCCAUUAGUAGAGUGGCAAACGGGUGAGUAACACGUGGGCGACCUACCUCAGAGUGGGGGAUAACCUUCCGAAAGGAGGGCUAAUACCGCAUGACAUCCCGUGUUUGGAUACACGGAGAUCAAAGCCGGGGAUCGCAAGGCCUGGCGCUUGGAGAGGGGCCCGCGUCCGAUUAGCUAGUUGGUGAGGUAACGGCUCACCAAGGCUCCGAUCGGUAUCCGG